Molecule: unclassified non-coding RNA, 1227 nt
Filed under: Leptinotarsa decemlineata (Colorado potato beetle)
Lineage: Eukaryota; Metazoa; Arthropoda; Insecta; Coleoptera; Chrysomelidae
Description: heterogeneous nuclear ribonucleoprotein 87F, transcript variant X1
Source: RNAcentral
GGCGAUAAACUGGAACCUGAGCAAUUCCGUAAACUUUUCAUUGGCGGCUUAGAUUUCCGUACUACUGAUGACUCUCUGAAAAAACAUUUUGAACAAUGGGGCGAAAUAGUCGAUGUAGUAGUGAUGAAAGAUCCUACCACCAAACGAUCCAGAGGAUUCGGAUUUAUAACCUAUUCGGAAGCUCAUAUGGUAGAUGAUGCACAGGCCGCCCGGCCUCAUAGAGUUGAUGGUAGAGUAGUGGAACCUAAAAGGGCUGUACCCCGACAAGAAAUUGGACGACCUGAGUCUGGUGCAACAGUUAAAAAAUUAUUUGUUGGAGGAAUGAAGGAAGAUGUCGAAGAAGAAGAUUUAAAAGCACACUUUGAAAAAUAUGGAAAUAUUUUAUCUUGUACUAUCGUUACUGACAAAGAAACAGGAAGGAAGAGAGGAUUCGCUUUUAUUGAGUUUGAAGACUAUGAUUCAGUUGAUAAAAUUGUUUUGCAACGUAAUCAUAACAUCAAAGGCAAGCAUGUUGAUGUCAAGAAGGCUUUGAGUAAGGCAGAAAUGGAUCGUUCUGGUGGGGGUGGUGGGCCUGUAGGACCAAGAGGAGGCGGACGUGGAGGUGGUCAAAUGGGAGGUAGAGGGGGUAAUUUCAACCAGGGUGGCAAUUGGAACAGUCGGGGCGGACAAGGCGAUUGGAAUGCACAGGGCAAUAUGGGAUAUGGCGGUGGCGGCCCAAGCGGAAAUAGCGGCGGCGGCCCGUGGAGCCAACAGGGACCUUGGGAUAAUCAAAGCGGUGGAGGCUGGGGACAGCAAGGAGGAGGUUACAGUGCUCCUGGGCCAUGGAAUCAAAGCGGAGGCGGAAGUGCAGGGCAAGAUUCUUUUGGUAACAAUUAUCAACAGAGUUAUGGAGGGGGUGGCCCUAUGAGAAACAAUUAUCAACAACAGAGACCUGCUCCAUAUAAUACUGGAGGUUAUGGAGGUGGAUUUUCGAAUGGUGGCAAUCCAGGUGGCCCCAGGAGGUUUUAAAACAUGUGAGAAAUUGAGACAUGGAUUUGUACAGCUUGUUUCUCUAGUCAUAUUUGGCUAAAAUGGAACAAGAACAAACCUCUCCUUUGAAGAGGUCAAAGUGCCACAUUGAAGAGAUUGUUUACAAAGUUGAGAAAAUUGUUAUGGAUUGGUAAUAAAUCCUGGAAAUGGAACUUGAUUACAGGUGUGGCCAAAACUGAAGAAAUUGCGGAAGAUAUU